Molecule: transfer RNA, 75 nt
Filed under: Halobium salinum
Lineage: Archaea; Methanobacteriati; Methanobacteriota; Halobacteria; Halobacteriales; Haloferacaceae
Also listed under: 7 other names
Description: tRNA-Met
Rfam family: tRNA
About the family: Transfer RNA (tRNA) molecules are approximately 80 nucleotides in length. Their secondary structure includes four short double-helical elements and three loops (D, anti-codon, and T loops). Further hydrogen bonds mediate the characteristic L-shaped molecular structure. tRNAs have two regions of fundamental functional importance: the anti-codon, which is responsible for specific mRNA codon recognition, and the 3' end, to which the tRNAs corresponding amino acid is attached (by aminoacyl-tRNA synthetases). tRNAs cope with the degeneracy of the genetic code in two manners: having more than one tRNA (with a specific anti-codon) for a particular amino acid; and 'wobble' base-pairing, i.e. permitting non-standard base-pairing at the 3rd anti-codon position.
Source: RNAcentral
GGGCCCUUAGCUCAGUCUGGUUAGAGCGCUCGGCUCAUAACCGAGUGGUCGUUGGUUCAAAUCCGGCAGGGCCCA